This 253-nucleotide ribosomal RNA is filed under the name uncultured bacterium. RNAcentral describes it as "partial 16S ribosomal RNA". It matches the Rfam family "Bacterial small subunit ribosomal RNA", at positions 524 to 776 of the family's 1533-position model. The record is from RNAcentral.
UACGUAGGAUGCAAGCGUUGCUCGGAAUUAUUGGGCGUAAAGGGCGCGUAGGUGGCCUGGUAAGUCAUAGGUGAAAGCCCUCGGCUUAACUGAGGAAUUGCCCAUGAUACUGUCGGGCUUGAGUACGGGAGAGGGGGGUGGAAUUUCUGGUGUAGCGGUGAAAUGCGUAGAUAUCAGGAAGAACAUCUGUGGCGAAGGCGACCCCCUGGACCGAUACUGACACUGAGGCGCGAAAGCGUGGGGAGCAAACAGG